RNAcentral lists this long non-coding RNA (667 nucleotides) under Androctonus crassicauda. Lineage: Eukaryota; Metazoa; Arthropoda; Arachnida; Scorpiones; Buthidae. The record is from RNAcentral.
AAAAGUGUUUGUUUAGCAGAAAAUAUUAAAGAACUAUAAGUUUUCAUCAUUUUGAAAUCUUAACAAAAAUAUUUAACAAAGAUUAAAGAAUAAAAGACUCAGAAUGCGCAAUGAAAAUUUUUUGCAAGUGACAAAAGUGGAAAACUGACCAGGCACAUGAUCACCAGGAGCACAAAACUGAUGUCCAAAAUCAACUUUAAAAUAAUCAUCACAUAUUUUCUAAAUAUUUGGAAGUAUCAUAAAAUACAUCUAAUAUUAACUGAUGACACAUAUAGUAAUAGCUGCCAUGUUUAUUCACUAAAAAAAAAAUCAAUGUACAUAUUUGUGAUAUUAUUUAUGAACUGCUCAAUAAAUUAAUUUUUUUGAAUGUAUUUAAAUAUGAAGAAUCACCCAAAUCCAUGUAUUUUUAUAAUAGAAAUGAGAAGAAGUAGGUAUUUUUUAGAAAUGAGUAUGGCAAAUCACACAGCUGCUAUAGAAUGUUCAAGAUAUAAUGCAACCAGUUUAUGUAUUUUUGAUCAUAUUUGUGCAAUAUCAGAUGAUUUAAUAUAUUUUAGGUAUUUAAAUAUGUACAUUGGGACAUAUUGACAUGCUUUUAACAAAAAAAAUUGAAAGAAUUGGUAAAAUUAUUCUUGUUGGGAAUAAAUAUCAUGCUGGUGUGAAGAUGUAA